RNAcentral lists this ribosomal RNA (274 nucleotides) under uncultured bacterium. RNAcentral describes it as "partial 16S ribosomal RNA". It matches the Rfam family "Bacterial small subunit ribosomal RNA", at positions 524 to 796 of the family's 1533-position model. The record is from RNAcentral.
GACGUAGGGGGCGAGCGUUGUCCGGAAUUAUUGGGCGUAAAGGGCUCGUAGGCGGUUCGGUAAGUCGGAUGUGAAAACUUAGGGCUCAACCCUGAGACGCCAUCCGAUACUGCUGUGACUUGAGUUCGGUAGAGGAGUGUGGAAUUCCUGGUGUAGCGGUGAAAUGCGCAGAUAUCAGGAGGAACACCUACGGCGAAGGCAGCACUCUGGGCCGAAACUGACGCUGAGGAGCGAAAGCGUGGGUAGCAAACAGGAUUAGAAACCCCCGUAGUCC